CUUUGAAGUGUGGACGCCAGUCUGCAUGGAGCCGACCUUGAAAUACCACCCUUUAAUGUUUGAUGUUCUAACGUUGACCCGUAAUCCGGGUUGCGGACAGUGUCUGGUGGGUAGUUUGACUGGGGCGGUCUCCUCCUAAAGAGUAACGGAGGAGCACGAAGGUUGGCUAAUCCUGGUCGGACAUCAGGAGGUUAGUGCAAUGGCAUAAGCCAGCUUGACUGCGAGCGUGACGGCGCGAGCAGGUGCGAAAGCAGGUCAUAGUGAUCCGGUGGUUCUGAAUGGAAGGGCCAUCGCUCAACGGAUAAAAGGUACUCCGGGGAUAACAGGCUGAUACCGCCCAAGAGUUCAUAUCGACGGCGGUGUUUGGCACCUCGAUGUCGGCUCAUCACAUCCUGGGGCUGAAGUAGGUCCCAAGGGUAUGGCUGUUCGCCAUUUAAAGUGGUACGCGAGCUGGGUUUAGAACGUCGUGAGACAGUUCGGUCCCUAUCUGCCGUGGGCGCUGGAGAACUGAGGGGGGCUGCUCCUAGUACGAGAGGACCGGAGUGGACGCAUCACUGGUGUUCGGGUUGUCAUGCCAAUGGCACUGCCCGGUAGCUAAAUGCGGAAGAGAUAAGUGCUGAAAGCAUCUAAGCACGAAACUUGCCCCGAGAUGAGUUCUCCCUGACUCCUUGAGAGUCCUGAAGGAACGUUGAAGACGACGACGUUGAUAGGCCGGGUGUGUAAGCGCAGCGAUGCGUUGAGCUAACCGGUACUAAUGAACCGUGAGG
Molecule: ribosomal RNA, 767 nt
Filed under: Escherichia coli
Lineage: Bacteria; Pseudomonadati; Pseudomonadota; Gammaproteobacteria; Enterobacterales; Enterobacteriaceae
Description: partial 23S ribosomal RNA
Rfam family: Bacterial large subunit ribosomal RNA
Source: RNAcentral